This is a long non-coding RNA of Canis lupus familiaris (dog), 4571 nucleotides long. RefSeq lists it as uncharacterized. The transcript is spliced from 5 exons. The record is from RefSeq and is a predicted model, not a curated record. NCBI's taxonomy places the organism in Eukaryota, Metazoa, Chordata, Mammalia, Carnivora, Canidae.
GGGCUUCUGCCUGAGCGGUGGGCGGAAGAUGGCUUCCUGUGGGCAGGCGAAGGUGGAGCUGCGGCUGAGCCUCGCGCGCGCUUUGGACCCAAAGCUCUGGCGGUUUCCACAGUGAAGUUUGGAAGUGGCCCCUGAAGGCGAGGCGAAGCAGAAGGACGAGGCAGGCCACUCCAGAGGGAUAGGUGGCGGUUUUAAAAGGCGACGGAACCUACUGAGGAGGCUUGGCCUGGGCAGCUGCGGCCCGGCGCCUUCGGAGUUUGCGCAGAAGCCUGGGGGCGGGGCGUUUGGUCACGUGCUCGCCCCACGUGGUACCCGCAGCACGAUGCCCUUGCCAGGCUGCAUCCUCCGAAGGGCAGGAAGAGUGGGUGGAGGGCACCCCCGGGACCCGGGACGGCUGAGCAGUCUGCCGUUAGGCCCGGCCGGCUGUCUCGGCUUCUCCGUGGCCUCGAGCAACAAGCUGGAGCCAGAGGAUGAGAAGCGAGCCCGCUGCAGGGCCGAGCUGGCCAGAUGAAGAGAAGAGGCCGGCGGGCACUGAAGGCUGCACUCCUGGAGGCUUUGCUCCAUAUCCUUCCAUUUUCUUUUCUUUUUUUUUUUUUUUUCUCCUCUUCUUCCCUCCUGGCUGGAGGCCUCUCCUCUUGUUUCACACCUGGGGUCGCCAGGAGCCACCAUGUGGGAGCAGUGCUAUGUGCUUCCACCACGUGGAAGCAGUAGUAUUUAUAAGUUCAGUUGCAUUUAUAGCUCACGUGGCUGUACCGGGGAGGGGAGCGGAGCCAAAACGAUGAGAAGCAGAUUCCCACCUUGUUGUUUGGGCUCUGGAAGCCUGCUGCUGUCCCUGAACGUAGCUCUGCACCUGGACUGCUGAACACACGGUAAACAGUGACCCCCGCCCUCGGCUGAACUGAUUCUAGUUGCGUUUCUCUUUGUGAUGCAAAGAGAAGAGACCCUGGUCUAUACUACCUCCAGAAGAAGCAGGCAAGAGCCAGCUGGAUUUAAGGAUCUGGGGCAAUCCAUUCGAAGCUUAAAAGGAAAAGAAAACCGCAGGGCUGCAGACUCUGAGCACACCUCCUGGACAGCCCCCACCUGAACCGAGGAAGAGUGUGGGCGGCCAAGCUGCAGUCAGCAGUCUGCAUAGAGAGCAGGACUAGCCCAGGUGGGGAAGGAGGGACCGCAGACUGACAGUCAGGAAUGGCAGUGGCAUAAAUCAAGGCUUGAGGAUGGGUAGCUGUGUUUCCUUGGAGGAGGAAAGCGCAGUGCUUGAUGGAUGAGAAGGGCUCCGCUUGAGUCUGAGGAACCCUGAUCAUUCUGCAGUGCUUCGUUUUACGUGCACAGUACCGGUAUCCAUUGGGCAUUUGGCAGCAGCUUGUUGAAUUGAAUUGGCAGUGGACAGAGUGGCUGCGCUCCAUGAAGAAAACCUCAUCCAGGAGGCUGGACAGAGGGAAAAGGAUUUGGAGAGGAAUGGGUGUUUUCUGGCUCCUGGUAGAAAUAAAUCCAUCAAUAUGCUUUGAACUUGUUGAUAAAAAGGCUGGUUUCUGCAGACAUCACCAAACCUUGAGAACUUCCUGGGAGCCAGCCAGCGUCUUGAUGGAGCACACAGCCAGGCCUGUCUGGCUACUUGGUGGAGACUUGUUUAUCACAUUGGUGUAUCCUCCACUGUCCCUAAAGUGCAGUAGGAACCCAACAAUCCAGAAGUUGUGACGGCUCUGGAAUUGCUGCCCGAUCCAUUGCCUCCGCCUGCCCUCCAGAGGGGCAAGGCAAACAUCCGAGUUCUCCAGGGCUGAAUCGGCAGGGCUGAUGAGACAGCUGGAUGCCAGAGGGGGCGGCGGGGGAUGCUCAGCCAGGCAUGCAAGCUGGCAGGUAUUUCAGUCCCAGAGCUGAUAUGACCUCUCCUGAGCCUCUCAAACUCCUGAGCUGUCACACCCACCCUCCCACUGGAACCCUACCCCAGGUCAUCUCUAGUAGGAAGGCUAACAAUUGUACUGCCACAGCAUUCCAAAAAGAUGACUGUUCCACCUUCCCCCAACCAUGGGGCUCUGCCUGCCAGCAAGCAGUGGGUGAGCCCACUCCAGAGCAUAUUUUAGAAUCCGGUUCUUAGGAUCCUUCUUGAUAUCAGCUACUAGGUUGUGUUCUUUGGAGUGAAACUCUGAAGUGGAGAUAUGCCUGCAGGAAGUUUACUGAGGAGACAUCCUAUGAAGGAGUGAGGGAAGCAGGAUGAAGUGAAGAGAGAAGCUGGACUGGGAUGAGGUGGCUGUGGAAACCUCAACUGAUCCCACUUGGAGCUCUGAAGCUGGGAAAGGCCUUCAACCUUGUGCCCAACUAAUUAGUCAUUAGAUGGGGACUUCCCCCUUGGAUGAGGCAGCUCCCUUUGGCCAAGGGGUGGUUUCUGAGGAAGACUCAGCAGCGAGCCAUCAGGAACCAACCUCCUGGCAGCUGGGGAAUGAGCUCUGCAGCCCUGUGGGGUGACCACCAUAGUCACUCUCCAUCCAUGUCACUGUGAUGUAGAAUGAACUAGUGGUAGGUCUCUGGACCCAAGUAUGUGUAGGACCGCACUGCUCUCCUGCAACAGCUUUGCCCUCUGUGAGACUGUGGUGGUGGCUGCUAUAUUCUCCCAUGGUAACCUCCUGGCCAGAGUUGCCUUCUUCAGGGGAGGGCAUCUCAAUGAAGCUGGCCCAUUAUGAUACCUGUCUUUUUGGCCACUGGUGAUUGAGCAGUAUGGGCACUUGCACUAUGCUGGUACAGUCACAAGUCUUUCCUUGGUGGGGGGAAGUUGUGUGUAGGACAGAAUAUUAAUCCACACUUCCUUGAGGAUGAGAGGCCCAUGAUGUCAAUCUUGGGAACUUUGGUGGUUGGAGAGGAGGUCACUUUGCAGUGGGAGAGUUGAAUCUGAUGUACUGAGGGAAACAGACAUGCAAGACAGAGUCAUAUGAGCCCUGGUGAGCUCUAGGGCCCUGGUUCCAGCUGUGCCUGAAGUCCACAUUUUUUCUUCCUGCCCCAUGGUUUGGUUGGUUAACUUCGCUUUUAACUAUCAUUUUAUUAAAUCCCAGUUGUUGCUUAAGUCCAUUUGAGUUGGAUUCCUGUUAAUGGCAACCAAGUGAAUCCCAAUACAUGUGAAACUAUAAAGAGUUAUGCUUUUAAAUGUGGCUUGGUCUAUCACGAUCAACCCUUUUGUCAACUCCAUAAAGUUCCAACUUAAUGAACUUCUCUGGUCACAAGCUGAGGUCUUAAGGGCCAUUUCUGGCCCUCAGCUGUAUUUUGUUUGGUACGAUGUUUUAAAAAAUCCAUUUAUAAUCAUUUAAUAAUUGGGAAAUUUAUAUAGUAUUGACCUUUUAGUUUCUCUUAGUAUAUGGAAGACCUGUCUGCAUUGGGAGUGGAAACAGCUGGCAGGUACAAGCCAAGAAGCAGCUGACCCACCUUUCAAAGGGGCAUGCACUCCCUAUUACUCUUCAUUCCUCCCUCUUUGUUUAUGUACCUGCCUGUAUUCUGUAGCCAUUUUAGGUAGUUGUUCCUGUUUUAUGCAAAUCCCGCUAGUUAGAUGGCCUUUUCUGACAUGGUCAAACUUUCAGUUCCAGAGGGGGCCAGAACAGAUACUGGAUACUGUGGAGGGAAGAAGAGAUGCAGUAAAGUAGGUAGGGGCUCUUGGAACGCCCUAACGAAGCUCUCUGAAAUCAGAAAGCUGCACAAAUGUGAAUUACCAUCAUUGUUAUUAAUAACAACCGAAAGGACAGGAGAUGUGGAAGUCAGCCCCUACUUCGCCACCUCCCCAAGCCCAGAAGGGUAUUUGUGCCAUCACGAUGGCAUUUAUCAUUGGCAUCGACAGUUAUUAUUAAACUACGUCAACGUGCAAAUGCAAAAUGUUUACCAAACGAACUAACAUGAGCUGGCAGAAAUAAUAUCUAGGCACUGUCUACCUUUAACUGUUCUUUCCAUAAAUUGCUGUGGCAUUUCUCCAGGGCUCAGAGUCAAUGAAGAAGAAGAGAAAUGACUCUUCCGGCUUGUUGAAGGUGUUACUUGUUAUUCCAGCUGGUGUCCUGUUUGUUCCAUCGUCUCCCUUGCCACUGCUGAUGGUAGUCCCUGUCACUGAUUUAGGAUACUGGACACUGCCGGCCAGCUCUCUACUCUGAUCCCAUAUAUUAAAAAGCAGGUGAAGUGUCUCUCCCUUUGUGUCUGUCUCUUUCCCAAAUCAAAGUCGAUUGACUACAGUGCGUCAUUUUUAAGCUCCCAAGUGCAGGCAGAGGCUUAAUAAAGCAUCUUGCUGUGAUCUGCCAGCAAGCCACACCUCGAAAAUGUGGUUUUAUAUAAACGUGUGUGUUUGUGACUGCCUUACUGUGCCUAACUCCCGUGUCACUGAGGCUUUAUUUAAUGCACAUGCAAGACCAACCAUUGCCUGGCCCACCUGAACAGGUCUCCACUUUCUCUGACCUCUUCCCCUGCCAUGUUUAUGGGUGCACCAGGAACAUGUCUUACUUCGUUAUUGGCCUUGGAAAAAGGAGAGACUCAUGGAGCAGGGUUACUCCAGCAUAACUCCCAACUAGCAGCCUCAAGCAAAGCUGCUCUAGAUAACCCACAAAGGCAUG